RNAcentral lists this unclassified non-coding RNA (311 nucleotides) under Athalia rosae (coleseed sawfly). RNAcentral describes it as "misc RNA ENSAEAG00005010958.1". Lineage: Eukaryota; Metazoa; Arthropoda; Insecta; Hymenoptera; Athaliidae. The record is from RNAcentral.
GGCCUUUGGCAAGUUUCUCCCUUUCCCAGAGUCGAUUGAUUGGAGGUCAGGAACGAUAGAACAUCACCGUCAAAGUCAUCGGACUAAAUUUUUUGAUCACCCUCUGUUACUUUUAUAAUAUUUCUAACGAAUUUUGAUGUCGCUCACGAAAGAUGGAAAAUAUUGAACAGACGCUAACGAUCGAAGACGACGUAUGGGAUUUUAUGCUGUGCGAGCGGGCGGAACUCGUGGAAAAGAGAGAGGAAGAAAAAGAAACGGAGGUGAGAGUGAAGGUGAAGAGAGAAAUAGAGGAAAAAGGAAAGGAAAAAAAA